RNAcentral lists this ribosomal RNA (207 nucleotides) under uncultured bacterium. Its description in RNAcentral is "partial 16S ribosomal RNA". It matches the Rfam family "Bacterial small subunit ribosomal RNA", at positions 568 to 774 of the family's 1533-position model. The record is from RNAcentral.
AGCGUAGGCGGACUUUUAAGUGGGAUGUGAAAUACUCGGGCUCAACCUGAGUGCUGCAUUCCAAACUGGAAGUCUAGAGUGCAGGAGGGGAAAGUGGAAUUCCUAGUGUAGCGGUGAAAUGCGUAGAUAUUAGGAAGAACACCGGUGGCGAAGGCGACUUUCUGGACUGUAACUGACGCUGAGGCUCGAAAGCGUGGGGAGCGAACA